GGAGAACAGACUCACUGUGAAUCGGUGUGUGGGCCAGCCAGUGCCCCUCCUGACAAUGUUAAGCAACGGGUGGUAGAAGUGCUGGGGAGGACUUUAUAAGUCAGGAGUGCUGCUGUAAUGGUUGGCAGAGGUUCUCACAGGGCAGCAGCGUUGAGGAACAGUGCAGACCGUCACUCUUCACCAAUCUACGGCGGUAAAUUUUCCUUAAUGUUCGGACUUCACACUCUCCAUUCCUGCUAAAGAAAGAACAGAACUCACCUGCCUGCGCUCCCGUCCUCUGCCACUGAUCACCACACCUCUCAUCUGCAAACCUGCAAACUCUCACUUUCCCUCCCCUCCGUUGCUGCUCUCAUCCGCAAACCAAACUGUGAUGUUGAAAUCAGUCAUUCAGAGUGACUCCUCCAAAGACCCAGCGUGAGACAAAGAGGCCAAGCUGCCAGAGAACUGAUGCAGAAGACCGGGAAGCUUUUAAACUCCAACCAAACCACUUUCACGAUGUGUUCAGGGGAGCGAGGGGAAUUCUCCAAAACACUAAUUUGUCCACAGUGACAUGAAAGUCCUGUUUAAGGUUUUCCGUCAUUUUCUGUUUAUCCCAUCAAACUGUACGUGGGCUGAUUUUAACAGACUGUUAAAAUGACCAA
This is a long non-coding RNA of Oreochromis niloticus (Nile tilapia), 641 nucleotides long. RefSeq lists it as uncharacterized. The transcript has 3 exons. NCBI's taxonomy places the organism in Eukaryota, Metazoa, Chordata, Actinopteri, Cichliformes, Cichlidae. The record is from RefSeq and is a predicted model, not a curated record.